AAAUAGUGGAACUACUUUCUCAAUUAAGGCAUAGACAGAAAAUGAAGGUGUUCGCUAAAAAAAUGAUUCAGCUGAGUUAUAUAAAACAUGAAAUUUUAAGGUCAUCAUACAUUACCAUUUUAAAAGUGACAAGGCAGUCCAUGACCAGCAGUCUAUUUUAUUUACCACGCAUAUAUCCGACAAGGAAUUUCUCCAAAAUAUAUGAAGAACUUUUACACAUCACGCAAGAAAUUAUAGACACCGUAAAUUCUGAAUUAGCAGAAGAUUUGAAGAGUCACUUUAGAGUAGAAGAUGUCCAAAAUGACAUCCUGGAAACCCAAAUGGGAAAGCACGGCAGAUCUCAGAAUGGCUGCAAUGAAGGUGCAUCUGCCUCGGAGACACAGCGCCUAUCUCCAGAUGAUAAUUUGUUCAGCAAUAUUCAUACCUCUUUUAUGCAUAAUCAUCAAAAAUAUAUGUCUUUGUCAUCAGAAAAAUGGAUAAUCAAUUGUGCUAUACUCCUAAAACAGACUCUCUUAGCAUAAGAAUAAAACCAAAUGACUGAUGCA
Molecule: long non-coding RNA, 545 nt
Filed under: Sus scrofa (pig)
Lineage: Eukaryota; Metazoa; Chordata; Mammalia; Artiodactyla; Suidae
Description: lncRNA (ENSSSCG00070005804.1)
Source: RNAcentral